RNAcentral lists this ribosomal RNA (19 nucleotides) under Amanita sp. 'justicei'. RNAcentral's name for it is "partial 28S ribosomal RNA". The record is from RNAcentral. Lineage: Eukaryota; Fungi; Basidiomycota; Agaricomycetes; Agaricales; Amanitaceae.
UCUGACCUCAAAUCAGGUA